UCAAACUUGGUCAUUUAGAGGAAGUAAAAGUCGUAACAAGGUCUCCGUUGGUGAACCAGCGGAGGGAUCAUUACAGGGCUUUAACCCCCCUAAAACCGUGUUAACAUACCUGUAACGUUGCUUCGGCAGGCCCUAGAGCUCCCCUGGGGGUGCCCUAGAGCGCUGCCGGAGUCCCGAAACACUGCUUCAGCGGACUCUCUGAGUACUCAUGACAAGUAAAAACUUUCAACAAUGGAUCUCUUGGUUCUGGCAUCGAUGAAGAACGCAGC
This 269-nucleotide unclassified non-coding RNA is filed under the name uncultured fungus. Its description in RNAcentral is "partial contains small subunit ribosomal RNA, internal transcribed spacer 1, and 5.8S ribosomal RNA". The stretch from base 1 to 73 matches the Rfam family "Eukaryotic small subunit ribosomal RNA", at positions 1759 to 1831 of the family's 1831-position model. The record is from RNAcentral. Lineage: Eukaryota; Fungi.